Molecule: transfer RNA, 65 nt
Filed under: Eucinetus haemorrhoidalis
Lineage: Eukaryota; Metazoa; Arthropoda; Insecta; Coleoptera; Eucinetidae
Description: tRNA-Ile
Source: RNAcentral
AAUAUGGUGCCUGAAAAUAGGGUUACUUUGAUAGAGUAAAAAAUGCAAAAUUUUUGCCCAUAUUA